UUACCUGAUGAGCACCAAUUAUUCGCUGUGUUCUUUCUGAAUACAUAUUGAAGAUAAAAAAUUAUAUUCACCUUGGAGAACUGAUCU
This is a small nucleolar RNA of Penicillium subrubescens, 87 nucleotides long. It matches the Rfam family "A. fumigatus snoRNA Afu_294". The record is from Rfam. Lineage: Eukaryota; Fungi; Ascomycota; Eurotiomycetes; Eurotiales; Aspergillaceae.